GACAUUGUCCCGACUUUUCUGUCCUGUCUCACUGAGACAUUGUCCCGACUUUUCUGUCCUGUCUCACUGAGACAUUGUCCCGACUUUUCUGUCCAAUCUCACUGAGACGUUGUCCCCACUUUCCUGUCCAAUCUCAGAGACAUUGUCCCGACUUUUCUGUCCUGUCUCACUGAGACAUUGUCCCGACUUUUCUGUCCUGUCUCACUGAGACGUUUUCCCGACUUUCCUGUCCAAUCUCAGAGAAAUUGUCCCGACUUUCCUGUCCAAUCUCAGAGACAUUGUCCCGACUCACAGAAACAUCAGAUCAGAGUCAUUAUUUCUACAGUCAGGUUUUCGUCCAAACCCAAACAUUAAUUCUGUUUUCUGUGACAGCUUGAAGACGUGGAUUUAUUAUUCUGUGAUCGUGCUUUGAUGGAAUUAGAUGAAGAACACGAGGUUUGUUCUUUUGAAUCCUUUCAUGUGCAAACAACAUCAAAUAAAAGUGAACUUUCAGCAGUUUUCACAGUUUGGAGCUAAUGUGGCUGAUGUUCUGGUGCAGGAGCUACAGAAGAGGAGCUGAAAUGAGAGAAAUAAAGUGCAGUCUCAGGAAAA
Molecule: long non-coding RNA, 591 nt
Organism: Austrofundulus limnaeus
Lineage: Eukaryota; Metazoa; Chordata; Actinopteri; Cyprinodontiformes; Rivulidae
Exons: 2
Source: RefSeq, a predicted model, not a curated record